GACCUAACCCGUUAGCUUUGACGGUAUGGUCGUGAAGAUGUCCUGUCAGACAUGAAAAACCCGUCAUGGAGUUGUCUGACAGGCCGUGUGGGGAAACCUGCACGCUCGGCGCAAGCCGGG
Non-coding RNA from Candidatus Kaiserbacteria bacterium, 120 nucleotides. NCBI's taxonomy places the organism in Bacteria, Candidatus Kaiseribacteriota. The record is from Rfam.